ACCCCUCAGGAUUUCGUAAGUUUGUCAGAACGCCUUCCAAGCUCCUUGUUCUAGACUCAGCAAGCCUGAACAAGGACUUCAGUUCUCAAGGAGUUAAGAAUUGUUGGGAAGCUGCUGCUCUUGCUUAACUUCCCAAUGUGUUGGGGAGGAGGAGGAGGAGGAGGAGGAGGAGGAGGGGGAGGGGGAAGGUAAAGCUGACCGGGCUCAGCCCGAUGGCUUCUCCAGCUGCAGAGCAUUUUCUGAGCGAAGCUUUUUUCUUUUUUUUUUUUUUUUUCAUGGCCUUUUAUCCUAUUUUUAACUGCGGCCUCCUUCCUUUUCUCAGCCUCCUCCAACACUUCCCCCUCCCCUGUGCUGCGCUGCCUCCCCCGCACGCUCUCGCAGAGAUGAAUGGGCUCCUUCUCACAGGGCACACACAGCUGCUGCUCCUGCCUGCAGGACAGCCAGCCCUUCCCUGGGCUGGCCAGCAUCACCUUGGGCUGGCCAGCAUCACCCUGGGGCGGCCAGCAUCACCCUGGGCUGGCCAGCAUCACCCUGGGGCGGCCAGCAUCACCCUGGGCUGGCCAGCAUCACCCUGGGGCGGCCAGCAUCACCCUGGGCUGGCCAGCAUCACCCUGGGGCGGCCAGCAUCACCCUGGGCUGGCCAGCAUCACCCUGGGGCGGCCAGCAUCACCCUGGGCUGGCCAGCAUCACCCUGGGGCGGCCAGCAUCACCCUGGGCUGGCCAGCAUCACCCUGGGGCGGCCAGCAUCACCCUGGGCUGGCCAGCAUCACCCUGGGCUGGCCAGGAUCACCCUGGGGCAGCCAGGAUCACCCUGGGCUGGCCAGGAUCACUCUGGGGUGGCCAGGAUCACUCUGGGGUGGCCAGGAUCACUCUGGGGCAGCCAGGAUCACCCUGGGCUGGCCAGCAUCACCCUGGGGCGGCCAGCAUCACCCUGGGCUGGCCAGCAUCACCCUGGGGCGGCCAGCAUCACCCUGGGCUGGCCAGCAUCACCCUGGGGCGGCCAGCAUCACCCUGGGCUGGCCAGCAUCACCCUGGGGCGGCCAGCAUCACCCUGGGCUGGCCAGCAUCACCCUGGGGUGGCCAGGAUCACUCUGGGGCAGCCAGCAUCACCCUGGGCAGGCCAGGAUCACUCUGGGCAAGCCAGGAUCAUCCCUGGGCCGGUCAGGAUUACCCCUGGGCUGGUCAGCAUCAUCCCUGGGCCUGCCAGCCCUUCCCUGGGCAAGCCAGAAUCAUCCCUGGGCCAGCCAGGAUCUUCCCUGGGCCUGUCAGGCUCAUCCCUGGGCCACCAGGCCUUCCCUGGGCCAGCCAGGCUCUCCUCACCCUCUUUAACAAACCAGGAGCAGGCAAAGGAGAUGUGCAGGAAGGUGAAGGGAAGCAGGAUGGGGUGAAAUCAGGGUGAGCCCCCACGAGGAGGGAUGCACUGGAUGGGAAUUCAUUCCACAGCUCAGAAAAAGCCCUGCACAAAAUCCUGCCCCUUCCUCACCUGCUGCAGCAUUCCCUGAUGCACAGCUCCCCCUGGCCCAGGAGCUGACUGAGGGCUUUGUUGUUACCCUCUGGCCACUGAGGUGACACAGCCUCUCUGGGUCUGGAGCUGUUUAGGGCCUGGCUGGAAUGGGGUUUCUUUUCCUUUGGCUCCAUUCCAUUCCAUUGGCUCCAGUUAAAGGCCAGUCCCAGCUGCUGUGCUGGGACACUCUGGGCUCUUGAAGGACACACGUAAUUUUCUCAGUUAAG
Long non-coding RNA from Ficedula albicollis (Collared flycatcher), 1731 nucleotides. Lineage: Eukaryota; Metazoa; Chordata; Aves; Passeriformes; Muscicapidae. The record is from Ensembl.